UUGCAAUGCAGAGUCUCCUGAGAAGAGAUUCAGACUGAACAGCUUUGUGUCGGACUUUGGAAGACCGCUGGUGCCCAAGGGGUUCUCUGGCAGCACAAUGACGAAUCUAGGUCCCUCUUUCACUGCUACGUCAAUGAAGUGGACCGCUUGGACAAGGCCAAAGCUGGUAUCCCAACCAUAGCCCUUGACAGUGAUGUUCGGCUCCAGGAAGCCAUCAGAUGCAGCAGGUGGCCAGAGGAGGAGCCGAACGGGCUCAUGAAAUGUGACACCCACAGCUUCAUCAACACGGACCAGAACUCUUCCUUUGGGGAAGAUGAUCUCCUGAUUUUGGAACCACCUAUUGUUCUAGAAAAUAAGCCAGUUGCCCAGACCUCACACAAAGACUUGAAUUGGAAAUGUGCUUUGUCAAGUGUUUCUCUGAAGAUGUGAAGUCUGUCUUUGUAUGGCAGGAAGUCCCCUUUCACAAAAUUGUAUGUGUUUGUGUCUGAGAGAGAGAAAUGGAGACAGACAGAAAGACGGAGACAGAAGAGAGCCCCCUCAGAAGAGAGCUAGUUAAGUGUCAGCGGCCUUGAACGGGGGUUGCCAUGGUGCGUUUCAUCUGGCGCUGCCACUUCCACGCUCUGCCUUUAGCACGUUGCUUUGCCUCCCAAGGCUGCCACCCUUUAAACUGUAAGCUCUUCUGAGAUCCUCCGGCCACCCUUGCUCCAACCUGAGGACAGAAGUACCGUUCCUUUCCUAGGAGGAGGAUCGAUCCAUGGUGCAUUUUAUGACAAUCCUGUCCCCAGGAAUGCACGGAAGUUUAUCAGCUGAGUGAGGGGAAGUGCCUCUGUGUCUCUGUGUCCCUGUAUCUCUGUCUGCUCACAGUGCCCUGCCACCGGCUACUGAACAAGAAAAGUGCUAUUCACCAUGCUGUGUCUUUUGCAGAUGUGUAGGUGAUGGUCUUGUGGCUCAUGUGUGGGCUUUGUGCUGGGAUGGUGAAGGGCUUAUAAAUACCUCAUCAACAUGUAUUCGAGAUGGCCUGGUGCCACACAGACUUGAUUCAUGAAGGCAUCAAGCCUGCACACUGGUUUGGAAACAACUUGGUUUUGAUCAGUCACACUGCAUGCAUGACUCACUGCUGAUCUCUGGGUGGUUUUUUCAUUUUAGAUUUAUUCACCCAGUGUCUUGCUUAAGCUGAAAAAUACAUUUAUUUCACUAGAA
Long non-coding RNA from Camelus dromedarius (Arabian camel), 1200 nucleotides. RefSeq lists it as uncharacterized. The record is from RefSeq and is a predicted model, not a curated record. Lineage: Eukaryota; Metazoa; Chordata; Mammalia; Artiodactyla; Camelidae. The transcript is spliced from 3 exons.